UACCCUUAAGGAAGAACAUUUAGUCUCAGUCUUAGCGCUGUCUUUGGGACACAAGUUAUUUGGAGUUCUAAAGUUAAUAAGUUAAAAAAGUUAAAAGAUUUACAGUAAUUGAAGAUUUCAGGUGGAGUUCCUCAAGGCUCAGUUCUGAGACUAAUGUUUCUUUUGUUCAAAUAAAUGAUGUUGACAAAGUUUCUCAUGUGUUACAAUUUGACUGACUCUAACAGAAGCUUUUAAUCUGAUUUGGAAUGAAGUUUUUUGGAAAUAUAUGUAGCGGUAUAGAGAUGUAUAUUUCUGCACAACUAAGUUCCGGUAAGAACUUCCGGUUGACUCUAGUGGGUGUGGUAUAAAAGAAGCUGCCCCACGCCCCUGAGACGCAUGUCUCCUGUGCGCUUCCACUGAGUGGCUCGCGUCCUGUUGGACUGGGCUGCAGACAAAUGACAGAUCGCAAAGUGUGGUAUAUGCGGCUUAGAUUUCCUUGUGGCAGGUGUUCUCUCUUGCUGCACUAUGGCUGAUCUUUGUAGAAAAGCUAAGUUUAGUAUGAUUAUAGGUGAACGCCACAGUGCUGCUUCUCCUUCUCUUCCUCCUGUGCGUAUGUGUUCGCGGCUGUGUGGAUCAGCAGAGUAAUGGCUUUAUCUACUCUGAUUGGACUUUCAGCCCAGAUUGGUUGAGGAUUCAGUUCACUGUGGAUAAUGACACCUGCCAGCUUCCUCCAGCAUCUUCAUAAGGUUGAAAUUGACUCCCACUGCUGGCUGUUCCUGCUCUGAUCCUGUUUGAUUUUCAGGCCGUGACCUUCAACCUGGACUCGAGUGCUUCACAGCUGGAAAACUGCAGGUGUGUAAGGAUCAUGUUCUGCCAAACUGUCACAUUACUACUUUACCUGAGCAACAGAAAUCACUGUGCCUCUGGGAAGAAAAUCCUGUAUUCCAACAUUCCUUAAUGCAUUAAACGGCAGACGAUGAGAAUGUGUUGAAAUCUUUAGUUGACCAUGCAGCUGGGAACCUUCUUCAUCAAAAAAUGGAAAAUGUUAAUUUGAAUCAUUCCCUGUUGAAAAAGUUUCAACAAAUGUAGAGAGAAGCAGAAGAAAAGACACAGAGCAGCUUCAGCAUUCAGCAUUGACUCAGCUUGACAAUCAUUAAAUAGCAGAUACAAAUACUCUCAUUAAAAAGAGGCUCAGCAGCACGAUUUUACACAGAAUACUGCAGAAUUAUAAAGCCUUUAUACAUCCAUACACUGUGUUUUUGUCAGGCGCUGAGACUGAGCGUCCAGCUGUUAAAUCAGCUGAAACAGAGACAUACAUUCACUCUGACACCAAUUCAUUGUUCCUCAUGUGUGACUGCCUGUUAUCCUCCCAACACGUGCAUUUCGGAGUGACUCAUCAGGGAUCCACAGCAGGAUCCAGAAAAGGCUCCACAGCAGGAUCCAAAGGAGGGUGGAGAACAGAAUCCAGAGGAGGAUCCAGAAAAAAAUCAGCAGGAGAAUCUAUCAGGGCAUCCAGAAGAGGAUGUGCAUGAGGAAACCGAGGGGUAUCUAGCAGAACCAGAGGAGGAUCAACAGGAGGAUCCAGCAGAGAAACCAAAGGGGAUCUAUGAGAGAAUCCAAUGACGACCUAGAUGAUGAUCCAGAGGAGGACUCAAGGGAGGAUCUACACGCAAACCCAAGAGGAUUUAGAAGAGAAUCAACAGAAAUACCCAGAGGAGGAUCCAGAGAAAAACCACACAAGGAUCCACAUGAGAAUCCAGGAGAGGAGUUACACAAGGAUUCUUUGGAGGAUCAACAGGAGGAUCCAAAGGAGGGUCCAUACAAGGCUCAAGAGGAACUUUGACAGAAGGAUCCAGAUGAGGAUCUAGUAGAGAAUAUCGAGCUGAACAAGGAGACAUAAUGAGUCAAAGGAACCCUGAACAUUCAGGGAACGCAUCAAACCUUAUGUGUGCUUCCAUUUGUGCUUGUUUCAGAUCUCUUUGGACAGUUCCCAGCUGCCAUGAUUCUUCAGAAUCCGUCUCUGUCUGGUGCAUCCAGUGACUAUCUGGAUGCACCUAAACUCAGAGUUUGUCUGUUUUUCUUACACCUAUAUUUCCUGUCUUCAGCCAGCUGGUCUGCUGGUGUACAGUAGAUCUUGGUGUGUUUACAGUCACUUUGUGUCAGUUUCAGUGACGUUUUGCAGGAUAAACGUGCCAACAUGCCAUCUCUUUGUGCCACUUUGGGCUGUUCUUCAAAGCAUACAUGCCGCUGAACGAGGUUCUGGUGUGUUUGUUCUGUAAUGUGCAGCAGAACUGGGCUGUUUAGUCCGUUUUUAACCCAUUUGUGUCCAUUACCUUGUCUCUAAAAUGUUUCCCUGAAAUCAGUCUGGUUUUGUUCAGACAUGAACAGACACUGUUAAAGUGCUGUCAGCUUUUGUUUUCUUAAAUCUGAAUUUCUGAUUGAGGUUUAGAGAACCACAAGAUAAAAGCUGAAAUCUUCUCCACUGUAAUUACCUCAAUUAUGAUGACAAGUCAAAACAGUGAUAAUAAGACACUACUCAACAUCAUUUUGCACCCUGUGUGGACAAACAUUAUUAACCAAGAGGUCUAAAAUGUUUUAAUAGCCCACCUCAGAUAAAUGGUUUAAGAUUAUUUCUUUUUAAUAGAUUAAAGUAUAUAAUAUAGCAGCAGAACCCUUUUAUAUUUUUGUUAUUUUAGGUUAAUCACUGAUUAUUUAAUACUAAAAUCUAUAUUGACCAUUAUACUGACAUCGCCAAGUCUUUUAUUUUAUUUUAUUGUAAAGGAUAUUGCAUGUUUGAGCACUGAAGGCAAAUAUUAAUAAAGUUCGCUACUAUUUAUGA
Long non-coding RNA from Girardinichthys multiradiatus, 2818 nucleotides. RefSeq lists it as uncharacterized. NCBI's taxonomy places the organism in Eukaryota, Metazoa, Chordata, Actinopteri, Cyprinodontiformes, Goodeidae. The record is from RefSeq and is a predicted model, not a curated record. The transcript has 3 exons.